AUGGGAUUCCUGAUGCAGCCAAUUAAAAGAUUCACGGUGCUUGAGGAGGUCAAUAAUAGCGAUGUCCCGAUGGCUCCGCUGCAUUACCUUGUCGGCGCCACUGCGUCGGGCGAGCUGCAGCACGCGCAAGCCCUAGAGCUGAGCAUGGACGGACAAAUUUGUGCGACCCAAGCUGUGGUGGUGGCAGAAAGGGAAAUUUCACCCCAAAAGGCUUGA
Molecule: ribosomal RNA, 216 nt
Filed under: Triticum aestivum (bread wheat)
Lineage: Eukaryota; Viridiplantae; Streptophyta; Magnoliopsida; Poales; Poaceae
Description: partial small subunit ribosomal RNA
Source: RNAcentral